This 1616-nucleotide long non-coding RNA is filed under the name Ooceraea biroi (clonal raider ant). Its description in RNAcentral is "uncharacterized LOC105287943". The record is from RNAcentral. Lineage: Eukaryota; Metazoa; Arthropoda; Insecta; Hymenoptera; Formicidae.
UUUUUUCGUAUCAUCAAAAACAAGUGAAAUAUCUAAGAUGAUCGAUUUAAGUGGACCACCCUGUAUAUAGCCAAUUAUGUAUGAUCAUGUAUGAUCACAUAGGUCCAUUUUGUCUCGGGUUACUUUAAUGUUUAAUUGGAUUAUCCGAUUAGAUAGGCCAUGAUAUUUUUCUCAGUGUACAAAUUAUCUUGUAAUAUUCUUUGUAUAAUACAGAUUCUUGUAAUAUAUUUCAGCGCUAGAAGCAAUUUUGUUAUCGAAAAUCUUUUCAGAAAUCGCAUUGCAUACAUGGAAAAUAUGCAGCAUAAUAUCAAGUAGUAUAAAAUAAAUAAGAUAAAUAAAAAGAAGAAAGUAAAUAAUGAAUUCUCAACAAAUUAUUGCGCAUAGAAAUUUUUAUUAUUAUUAAAAAAAAUCAAGUUUUUCUUUGGAAAGGAAGAGAAGCUGCUUCAGACAUUCAUAUUUUGAAAAAUAUGCUACCAGCUUCAAUCUAAUAUACAUACUAACACUUUUUAAAUCCAGGACAAAUUUAUUUUACAUUAGGUUUAUAUGGAAGUAUAUUUUCUGGAUGUACAUUAUCGAUAGAAAAGUGUAUUAAAGUACGUAUUAAAUUACAGAUAUACGUGAAAUCUGUACAUGUAUCAAUGAUAUACGUAGCAGUCGAGAUGUUAACGAAGUUUAUAUAUUAUAAUAUAAUAAAAUGAAAUGAAAACAUAAAUUUUAUAUAAUGGUUUUUUAUGAAGUAUGUUAUGAUAAAUGUAAAGAUUAAAAUAUCAAAUGAUGAUACAAUAGAAUGCAACUAACUCAUGUAAAUCCAUGUUUUUAGGUUGUAUAAAAAAAAGAAAAAUAUGUGAAAACAAGAUAAUUAUGUAAAACAUUAUACUCACGUAUUCCCUAUACAAGAUAUGGAAACAUCAUUAAUAUAUUGAAAAGGUAUAGGAAAGUUGAAGUAUAGAAAAAUUGAGAGGAAAGAAAAGAAUACCUAUGAUAUAACAUGAGUACGUAAAGUGAGCUUGAAUAUACAACAUCUUCCUUGCAAAACGGACUCUUCAAAAGAUUCAAGGUACCUGGGUUCGCAGCUGCUUCGAAGAAUGUUACAGAAAUAGAAGAUUGUAAGAAGAGGAUUAUGUGACACUUGGAAGAGUGUAGAAUAUAUCAAAAGACAUGCACAGAAGCACGAUAAAAGACAUGUGACGUAUUCGCUUGAAUUUCACUUGAUAAAAAUGGUGGUAUAUCGGAAAAUCUUUAAUAGAAGUAUAAGUGGUUUUCCAAAAGCAAACGCUUCUCCUUCUAAUGUAAACAGGGUAUAUCGUUCUACUAGUUUACGCAAGAAAAUUCGAUUCCGUUAAUACUGUCUGCAAUCUUCGUCAACUGCGAGAAGUUGUUACGAAAUGAAGAGUUAAAUUAUAUGACAAGUUAAAAAAAUAUUAGAUUAGAACUGCUAACUUGGUUGGAUGAGGAAAAGAAAGUAAAUAUUGGUUUCUCUAAUUGUAAUUGUAAUAAAUAAUUUUAUCAGAUUUAAUAAAUGUACAUAUCAUAAUUUUUCUGAACAUUUCUGAACAUUUUCUGAACAAAUCUCUAAAUAAUUAAUGUCAUUAUUCUACUGUGCACUGCUAUCUAAA